CACGAUUGGAACUCCAACAAGGAAACAAAACGGUACUCUCGUACUAAAGCCCAAACCAAAAAAGCGGGUCUGGAUCCUUGUAAUUUGGAUCUUCAAUUUGUAAAAUGUGAAUCAACUCAACUGGAAUCCGAAUUCUAAAACGAUUCUGGGAUAGGAGGCCUCGAGAGCACCAAAUAAAUUACGGUGUAGUGGAUUUUUCUUAAAAUUUCUGAGAGCAGAAGGGAAGUAUUUGAAGAUGUUGGGCGCAUUGAAGGGACAGCCGCUGGUUACGAAGCUGGCAAAGGUGGCGCAAUACGGCAUUCUUCCUGGAGCCAUGAUCGCCGCCCUCUUUUACUCACCUCCCGAUUAUGCUUCACCCAAAAAACCGUCUGAUUCUAAACCCCCCAGUUCUUCUUCCCAUUAGAUUCAAGGUGCAUUUUUUUUGGCAUUUAUCAGUUUCAUUUAAUUCGCUUUUCUUUAAUUCAGGGUUAGGGUUAGGGUUAGGGUCAGGGUUAGGUUUAUGGUUUUUGAUAUUUAUAUUGCUGGAUCCGUUGUGCUUAUGACUAUCUGUUGGUUUAAUUCCUCUUUGGUAAAUGGUAAUUUAAAGGAAAGAAAGAGGGAAAAUAGUGGAUAAGAGAGAAUUAAUCUGAUAAUGUUACUGUUAAUUUAAUUAACAAACGUAUAGAUCUGGGUUGUUAAUUUAACCACUAUUCUAGCAAAAAAGAAAAAAAAAAAAAAGUUUUUUAAUCUGAUAAAUCUAUUGCUUGCAAAAAAAAAAAUUCCUUGUAGUUCGUGAAGAACUGCCGUGGGAAUUUUGUGUUCUUCAUUCACAUGGAUGAAAAAUGUGUGAAAAGUAGUUAUGUGGGGAUGUAAGGGUUAACAGGGGAAGAGAUAUUUACCUGGAGAGACAAAUGUAAAGGGGAAAAUUUUCAGAUAAUUAUUUCAAUUCAAAUGAGAAUAAUAGCAUUGUAAGGUUUUGUGAAAUUAUGACUGCAAUGUGAAGGUGGAAAGAUAUGAACCAAAGAAUUCAAAUUGAAAGAAAAUUGUGUUGGGAAUGAAUCCGUUUGUUUGUAAGGUGAAUUCUUGUGUUCUUUCUUUUGGUGAUUUCAGCUGCUUUUUUAUUGUAGAUUUUGGUAAAAUUGUUCAUAUUUGUUGUUUAGCAUUCAUAGGGGAAUGAAGCUCUGCGAAGUGACCAACUAUAUUAGCCUAAUAGUAAUAGCUAUCUCUGUAUCGUAGUUCUUGUAAAUGCCUUAAAUAUUCUUUUAUGAAGCUCAAUUUAGAGGGGUCUAAGUAACUAACUGAUCGACUUGUUGCAUGACCAUAAUUUCCGUAUUUGUUGUGUUGCAUAAAUAGUACUAACGUGUAGUUUUAAUGAAUGAAGAUUAGGAAAGGGACUGAGCUGUCAAACUCACGCGCGACUUCGUUCUUGAUGCAGGGCUCUUGGCUGGUUAAACAUGCAUCUUUCUAUUUCCUUGUGAUAUGUUAGUUUAAUAUGGCAAGUAAUAAAUAAUUAUUGCUGCUUUUGUUUCUAUGUACCAGUUGUAAACAAUCAGGAUUUUGGGUUUCAGUAUCUUUUGAAGAAAAUUGUUGCUUUCCUGUUAUGUCCUGCUAACAUUUGAGAGAUUUCGUUAUAUGCAAAUCUUUUUAAUUUAGCUCCUAUGCAUA
RNAcentral lists this long non-coding RNA (1644 nucleotides) under Olea europaea subsp. europaea. The record is from RNAcentral. Lineage: Eukaryota; Viridiplantae; Streptophyta; Magnoliopsida; Lamiales; Oleaceae.